Molecule: ribosomal RNA, 468 nt
Filed under: uncultured bacterium
Lineage: Bacteria
Description: partial 16S ribosomal RNA
Rfam family: Bacterial small subunit ribosomal RNA
Source: RNAcentral
GAUGAACGCUGGCGGCGUGCUUAACACAUGCAAGUCGAACGGAAAGGCCAGUGCUUGCACUGGUACUCGAGUGGCGAACGGGUGAGUAACACGUGGGUGAUCUGCCCUGCACUUCGGGAUAAGCCUGGGAAACUGGGUCUAAUACCGGAUAGGACAAUGGUUUGGAUGCCGUUGUGGAAAGUUUUUUCGGUGUGGGAUGAGCUCGCGGCCUAUCAGCUUGUUGGUGGGGUAAUGGCCUACCAAGGCGUCGACGGGUAGCCGGCCUGAGAGGGUGUACGGCCACAUUGGGAAUGAGAUACGGCCCAGACUCCUACGGGAGGCAGCAGGGGGGAAGAUUGCACAAUGGGCGCAAGCCUGAUGCAGCGACGCCGCGUGGGGGAUGAAGGCCUUCGGGUUGUAAACUCCUUUCGCUAGGGACGAAGCGUAUUUGUGACGGUACCUGGAGAAGAAGCACCGGCUAACUACGUG